AUGUUCCGGAUGAAGAAUCUCGGUCAUGAAACCGAAGCCAUUAAUAGUGCAAGGGACAAGGUGCUCAAAAUUAUGAGGAUGAUGAACCCAAAGAUUUUCAUUUCAGGCACUGUGAAUGGGUUACGCAGUUCUCCCUUCUUUGUAAAACGUUUCAAAGAGGUUAUAUUCCAUUACUCUUCAAUGUUUGACAUGCUUGAUGCAAAUGUUGUUCCACGGGAUAAUAAAGCAAGAAAGAUGAUUGAGAGGAUGAUAUUUGGUAAGGAUGCACUUAACAUCAUAGCAUGUGAGGGUGCAGAAAGAACAGAGAGACCAGAAAGUUACCGACAGUGGCACGCAAGGUGCGUCAAGGCCGGGUUCCAGCAGCUUCCUGUCGAUCCAGCCGUCUUAAGGAUAAUAGUAUACAUGAAGAACACGUUUUGGCAUGAGGAAUUCUUUGCUGUUGAAGAUCGUGGUUGGCCAGACACAAUCUUCGAACUUUCGAUAGGCGCCCUGUUUUACUGGGGGAGAAAACUCGAAGAGCUUCCCCGAAGUCUUUGGAGUAUCUUUUUGAUAGGCACCCUGUUUUGCUGUAAAGUAGUAGAUCAUUGCUCUGAAUAUCUCUCAAAGCUGGGAGGCCGAGGUAGGCGGAGGAGCGCGAGGAGAAGAGGCCCCCCGCGUCGUCUUCCUUCGCCUGCGUCGUCGCAUUCGCCGCCGCCGCCGGCGACCUGCCGGGCUUCCUCUUGGCGGACAUGGAGAUGUCAC
RNAcentral lists this ribosomal RNA (741 nucleotides) under Triticum aestivum (bread wheat). Its description in RNAcentral is "partial small subunit ribosomal RNA". Lineage: Eukaryota; Viridiplantae; Streptophyta; Magnoliopsida; Poales; Poaceae. The record is from RNAcentral.